AUUUAAAAGUAAAAAUGUAGACUUGAAUAUUAAUAGUUAUUUUCUUUAAAAUCAAAGAAUUUGGCGGUAAUUUAGUCUUGUUAGAGGAACCUGUUUUAUAAACGAUAAAUCACGCAAUAUCUUACUUAUUUUUGUAAAUAGACUUCAGUUUGUAUACCUUCAUUAUUAAAUAAUUUUGUAAAAAAUAAUUAUUGAGAUUAAUAAUUAAUUUAAAGAUAUUAGAUCAAGGUGCAGCUUAUAAAUAAGUAAAAAUGGGUUACAAUGAUAUAUAAUUAUACGGAUAGUAAAAAGAAUAGUUUAUUUUAAGGUGGAUUUAAUUGUAAGGGUGAUUUUAAUAAGUCUCUCUGAUAUUAGCUCUAAGUUAUGUACAUAUCGCCCGUCACUUUCAUUUAAAAUGAAAUAAGUCGUAACAUA
This 414-nucleotide ribosomal RNA is filed under the name Enoplometopus debelius. RNAcentral describes it as "partial 12S ribosomal RNA". The record is from RNAcentral. Lineage: Eukaryota; Metazoa; Arthropoda; Malacostraca; Decapoda; Enoplometopidae.